Molecule: non-coding RNA, 183 nt
Filed under: Providencia sneebia DSM 19967
Lineage: Bacteria; Pseudomonadati; Pseudomonadota; Gammaproteobacteria; Enterobacterales; Morganellaceae
Description: 6S / SsrS RNA
Rfam family: 6S / SsrS RNA
About the family: E. coli 6S RNA was the first non coding RNA to be sequenced, but its function was unknown until recently. It consists of 184 nucleotides that fold into an extended hairpin structure with a large single-stranded internal bulge.
Source: Rfam by way of RNAcentral
AUUUCUCUGAGAUGUUUGUCAGUGGGCGAGUCCCCUGAGCCGAUAUUUCGAAAGAAUAGAAUGUAGUUAUUGCGCUGGUGAGCAUGCUUGAUUCGCUCAAGAAGCCUAAAGGUUUGCUAAACUACGUUCACCUUGAACCAAGGGUUCAAGGGUUACAGCCUACGACGGCAUCUCGGAGAUCCC